GGUUGAUCCUGCCAGUAGUCAUAUGCUUGUCUCAAAGAUUAAGCCAUGCAUGUCUAAGUUUAAAUAAUUUUAUACUGUGAAACUGCGAAUGGCUCAUUAAAUCAGUUAUGAUCUACGUGAUAUAUUCUUUACUACUUGGAUAACCGUGGUAAUUCUAGAGCUAAUACAUGCAUAAAGCCCAAACUGUAAAAAGGAUGGGUGCACUUAUUAGAUUUUAAUCAAUCCGGGGUAAAACCUGGUCUUUUGGUGAUUCAUAAUAAUUUAGCGGAUCGCAUGGCCUUGUGCCGGCGACG
This 293-nucleotide ribosomal RNA is filed under the name uncultured eukaryote. RNAcentral describes it as "partial 18S ribosomal RNA". It matches the Rfam family "Eukaryotic small subunit ribosomal RNA", at positions 6 to 292 of the family's 1831-position model. The record is from RNAcentral.